GACGAACGCUGGCGGCGUGCUUAACACAUGCAAGUCGAACGGAAAGGCCCUGCUUUUGUUGGGUGCUCGAGUAGCGAACGGUUGCGUAACACGGGAGUAACCUGCCCUUGACUUUGUGAUAACUUCAGGAAACUGGGGCUAAUACCGGAUAGGAGCUCCUGCUGCAUGGUGUGGGUUGGUAAGUUUCGGCGGAUGGGGAUGGACUCGCGGCUUAUUAGCUUGUUGGUGUGGUAGCUGCUUACCAAGGCUUUGACGGGUAGCCGGACUGAGAGGGUGACCGGCCACAUUGGGACUGAGAUACGAGCAAGAGUCCUACGGGAGGCAGCAGUGGAGAAUAUUGCAAAAUAGGCGGAAGGCGGAUGCAGCGACGCCGCGUGGGGGAGGACGGCCGUCGGGUUGGAACCCGCUUUCGCCUGUGACGAAGCGUGAGUGACGGUAAUGGAUAAAGAAGCACCGGCUAACUACGUG
Molecule: ribosomal RNA, 468 nt
Filed under: uncultured bacterium
Lineage: Bacteria
Description: partial 16S ribosomal RNA
Rfam family: Bacterial small subunit ribosomal RNA
Source: RNAcentral